AGAAUCUUCCGCAAUGCGCGCAAGCGUGACGGAGCGACGCCGCGUGGGUGAUGAAGGCCUUCGGGUUGUAAAUCCCUGUCAGUUGCUAGGAAACACAGGCGGUGAAUAACUGUCCUGUCUGACCAUGCAGCAGAGGAAGCACCGGCUAAAUACGUGCCAGCAGCCGCGGUAAUACGUAUGGUGCAAACGUUGUUCGGAAUCACUGGGCCUAAAGAGCGCGUAGGCGGUCUGGUAAGUCGGAUGUGAAAUCCCCCGGCCUACCGGGGAACUGCGUCUGAUACUGCUGGGCUAGAGUGCAGGAGGGGAGAGUGGAAUUCCUGGUGGAGCGGUGAAAUGCGUAGAUAUCAGGAGGAACGCCGGUGGCGAAAGCGGCUCUCUGGACUGUUACUGACGCUGAGGCGCGAAAGCUAGGGGAGCAAAC
Molecule: ribosomal RNA, 421 nt
Filed under: uncultured bacterium
Lineage: Bacteria
Description: bacterial SSU rRNA
Rfam family: Bacterial small subunit ribosomal RNA
Source: RNAcentral